GACGAACGCUGGCGGCGUGCUUAACACAUGCAAGUCGAACGAUGAAGCCGGAGCUUGCUCUGGUGAAUUAGUGGCGAACGGGUGAGUAACACGUGAGUAACCUGCCCUUGACUCUGGGAUAACUGCGGGAAACGGUAGCUAAUACCGGAUACGACCCUCGGCGGCAUCGCCAGGGGGUGGAAAGAAUUUCGGUAAAGGAUGGACUCGCGGCCUAUCAGCUAGUUGGUGAGGUACCGGCUCAACAAGGCGACGAAGGGUAGCCGGCCUGAGAGGGUGACCGGCCACACUGGGACUGAGACACGGCCCAGACUCCUACGGGAGGCAGCAGUGGGGAAUAUUGCACAAUGGGCGCAAGCCUGAUGCAGCAACGCCGCGUGAGGGAUGACGGCCUUCGGGUUGUAAACCUCUUUUAGUAGGGAAGAAGCGAAAGUGACGGUACCUGCAGAAAAAGCACCGGCUAACUACGUGCCAGCCGCCGCAGUAA
RNAcentral lists this ribosomal RNA (484 nucleotides) under uncultured bacterium. RNAcentral describes it as "partial 16S ribosomal RNA". It matches the Rfam family "Bacterial small subunit ribosomal RNA", at positions 28 to 523 of the family's 1533-position model. The record is from RNAcentral.